Molecule: ribosomal RNA, 253 nt
Filed under: uncultured bacterium
Lineage: Bacteria
Description: partial 16S ribosomal RNA
Rfam family: Bacterial small subunit ribosomal RNA
Source: RNAcentral
UACAGAGGGUGCGAGCGUUAAUCGGAAUUACUGGGCGUAAAGCGUGCGUAGACGGUAGCGUAAGUCAGAUGUGAAAGCCCCGGGCUCAACCUGGGAACUGCAUUUGAUACUGCUCUGCUCGGGUGCGGAAGAGGGAAGCGGAAUUUCCGGUGUAGCGGUGAAAUGCGUAGAUAUCGGAAGGAACACCAGUGGCGAAAGCGGCUUCCUGGUCCGACACUGACGUUCAGGCACGAAAGCGUGGGGAGCAAACAGG